GGAGACGCUCUCACUCCAGUUCUUCACUGUUUUUCAUCUGUUGGGAUAUUAAGUGCGGCGGGGGAAGUACAGGGUCCUGGUGGCCAGUUGGACUGAUCCUUUCCUUUUUUUUGUGGAAGAUCGUGAGCCAUCCCUGCACUUUCCCCAGCUUCGAGCUGCAUCAAACUUGCAAACAUGAUCAUCAGGCUGGGCAGGCUGACACCUGGAUACUUCCGCCUUCUCCAGAGGCAGGUUGCCGGUGAGGUGCAGACGCAGCCACAGGACCGAGCGGUGAACCAGAUAGCCAUGAUGCUGGCCAUCAUGGGCUUGAGUUUGUCCUACUACAGUGCCAGACAGAUGACGGAGAAGGUCCACGCCCAGCCUGCACCCUGAAGAGACUCGACAGGAGAUGAUGGACGAACCAACGAGAACUGGAGGAGGGGAAGGGAGCGAGGAAUCAGAAGUGGAGACACGGCAGAGCCUCUGAUAGCACUUUUCUCACCUCAGUCAUCAUCACACUCGGAUACUGAAAUCCUGGGUUUCCUCACACACACAAGCAUUAACGGUGGUUUCAGGGCCGCUCCAGUCAGGGAUUUGUGGGGAUGGCUCAGCCUGGGUUGUGGAGAGGACUGGUUUUAUUGACUGGUUUGGGUGGGGGACUAAAACCAGCUGGCUGCCAACUGGGUCUAAACAUUAGUCAUUACAAAGGUACAUGCUUGCAAGAGGCCAAUACUAAUUGAACUAUGUGGAAAAACUUCAACUGUGAACCAAAUAUGUCCAAAAGGGGUAAAAUUAUAAGAAUAGUUCCUUUUGUAAUGGAAAUCUGAGCUGUACCUUGUGAAGAAGUGAUGAAAGACCCGUAAAAGGAUUAAAGGGGGAUGGGAAAAUGAGUUAAAAAUUUAGAUUUUUCUUCUUUUUUUUUUUUAGCAAGAGAACCUCUCAGAACCUUCUGAAAACAUCAGGAGAUCAUAUUCACACAAAUGUUAAUGUAUGUACAUGCAAACUGUUUCUGUCGGCUGUCUGAGAUUCAACUAUUUGCACAAAGUUUUAGAAGAGUGGAUCUGCAAAGGGACUUUGAACUGCUCACCACCUGUUCUUGUGCUUUCAUCGUCUUAAUCUGUGAAGUUUUGUGACUACGUUGAUGAAAACCUGUCUCGUAGGAUCUUAUGCACACAUUUGCUGGAAUGCCUGAGUGCAGACCUUUUUAAAUCAAAUCCAAAUUACUGCAUCUUGUUUAUAGAUGAAUGUAUCACUGUAUUUUUUUUGUAAAGGUUUAAUAAAGCUGUGAAUAUUUUAAAAGA
Molecule: long non-coding RNA, 1280 nt
Organism: Cololabis saira (Pacific saury)
Lineage: Eukaryota; Metazoa; Chordata; Actinopteri; Beloniformes; Belonidae
Exons: 3
Source: RefSeq, a predicted model, not a curated record